RNAcentral lists this long non-coding RNA (1630 nucleotides) under Zostera marina. RNAcentral's name for it is "long non-coding RNA (ZMAR_LNC005005)". Lineage: Eukaryota; Viridiplantae; Streptophyta; Magnoliopsida; Alismatales; Zosteraceae. The record is from RNAcentral.
AUUUAGCUGUGAUGGAACCAUCUGGAUUCUCUGUUCUUUCAUAAUCAUUCCAAACAGGGGAUGUCAAAGAUCGUUUCCUUUUAAUUUUAUUAACUUCAGGAUGUUCACAUUCUUUGGCUAAUAUUGUAGAAGAUACGCCGGUAGUAGUACUAGGUACACUAAGGUUUUGUAUAGGAGCAUCUUGAGAUAUAGGGAUAUGUGUAUCUCCAAUACUUUGAACGUCUAUUAUGUCUCUAACCACACCUAAUAUAAUUUACAUAAAGAUGAUUUAAGAAACAUAAAUAUCAGAAUUCAGAAACAUUAAAAUCAGAAAUAUAAAUUAAUAUCAGAAACAUAAAUUAAUAUAAGAAUAAGAACAUUAAUUUAUGCCACAAAAAAAUUAACAUUACCUUCAUCAUUCCCAUGUACAUUAGACAUUGAGUCUAUUGAAUUAGUAGACUGUUUAGGAAAUGAAAUCUGAAAAUGAAUAAAAAAUUAAAAAUGAAUAUUAGAAUAGAAUGAUGAUGAUGAUGAGGUGGAAGCCGUCGCAAUGUAAGAAUUCUAAAUCUUAAAUUCUAAACUCUAAACCAUUAAAGGGUUUUUGAAUUUUGAACCACUCUUCUGCUCUUUUAUCUAUCUUUCUAGAGCCUGGAAAAAGCUUCCAGUUGCUCAACAAUACUAAAAGGGCCUGUUUGAAUCUAGUAUCAUCCUACAAAGGCAAAGAAGCAAUAAAGUAAAAGAUGUGGCAAACAGAACAAAGAAAAUAUAUAAAUAAAUAAAAGACAACGAAAACGAUAAAUUUAGCAAGUUAAUGCUUAUGUCAAGUGUCAAUAAAGUAUAAACUAUAAACACUUCGAUUUUGCAACAUUUUAUUCAAUAAUGACCAGAAUAAAAGUGUUUUCCAAGUGUUCAAUCGAGAUGAGUGAACAAAAACCUCAUCGGCAAGAAUCUUAGAGCAAUUGAAGCAGACACAUCGCAUAAUCGCAAGAACAGUCUUCAAAAAUCUAUCUUUUAGUAGAUUAAAAGAAGAGGAAUUCCAGAGGAAGUUAAAAGAGAUGUUAAAUGAAGAAGAAAAGAAACGCAUACCAGUUGCUCAGCGUCUACCCUGGACCACUGAUGAGCCUGAGUGUCUGGUAAAGCCUGCAGUGAAAGAAACAAGUGAGCCCAUUGAUAUUCUUCUCCAUAGGGGAUUUUAUUGUGGACGAACCCUUACAGGAUGGAUUUAAAAGACCCGUACUAGAGGUCCGAGACUGUACAGAUUUCAACAUCUGAGUGAAAACUGAAAACGAAAGGAAAGAAAUCGCUAUUUCCGUAAACUGGAAACGAAAGGAAAGGAAAGGAAAGAAAACGAAACGAAAGGAAAGAAAACUGGAAACGAAAGAAAACUGAAAACAUCUGAGUGAAAACUGUACAGGCUAUUUCCGUUUUUUUUUGUAAAAACAGUAACAAAGUGAAAGGAAGAUGAGAAAACUUACCAGUUACCCAGAUGAGAAGGAGCCGAGUAACUUGUGUGCUUGCUGCUUGACUGCUUGUGCAAAAAAAAUGGAGGAAUGAGAAGAAAUCGCCAAACCCUAGCUAACUCUUAAGAAAGGAGAAUAACUGAAUAAGAAAUAAGAAUGAUUUUUUUAGGGAUUUAGAGAUUAGGUUUAGG